This 73-nucleotide transfer RNA is filed under the name Streptomyces hoynatensis. It matches the Rfam family "tRNA". From Rfam's summary of the family: Transfer RNA (tRNA) molecules are approximately 80 nucleotides in length. Their secondary structure includes four short double-helical elements and three loops (D, anti-codon, and T loops). The record is from Rfam by way of RNAcentral. Lineage: Bacteria; Bacillati; Actinomycetota; Actinomycetes; Kitasatosporales; Streptomycetaceae.
UCCCCCAUAGUGUAAUCGGCAGCACGCGGUCCUUUGAAGUCCGAAAGUUCAGGUUCGAGUCCUGAUGGGGGAA